Molecule: ribosomal RNA, 468 nt
Filed under: uncultured bacterium
Lineage: Bacteria
Description: partial 16S ribosomal RNA
Rfam family: Bacterial small subunit ribosomal RNA
Source: RNAcentral
GACGAACGCUGGCGGCGUGCUUAACACAUGCAAGUCGAACGGUGAAGCUCCAGCUUGCUGGAGUGGAUCAGUGGCGAACGGGUGAGUAACACGUGAGCAACCUGCCCCUGACUCUGGAAUAAGCGCUGGAAACGGCGUCUAAUACUGGAUACGAGAAGGGUCCGCAUGGGCACUUUCUGGAAAGUUUUUCGGUUGGGGAUGGGCUCGCGGCCUAUCAGCUUGUUGGUGAGGUAAUGGCUCACCAAGGCGACGAUGGGUAGCCGGCCUGAGAGGGCGACCGGCCACACUGGGACUGAGACACGGCCCAGACUCCUACGGGAGGCAGCAGUGGGGAAUAUUGCACAAUGGGCGAAAGCCUGAUGCAGCGACGCCGCGUGAGGGAUGACGGCCUUCGGGUUGUAAACCUCUUUCAGCAGGGAAGAAGCGAAAGUGACGGUACCUGCAGAAGAAGCACCGGCUAACUACGUG